Anneissia japonica is the source of this 241-nucleotide long non-coding RNA. RefSeq lists it as uncharacterized. The transcript has 2 exons. The record is from RefSeq and is a predicted model, not a curated record. Lineage: Eukaryota; Metazoa; Echinodermata; Crinoidea; Comatulida; Comatulidae.
UGUGAAUUAUUACAGGUCCGAAACCUUGAUGAGAUCGAGUACGUAGAAGAAGAUAGUAUUGUCAGAGCUAGCGCUGUCACAUGGGGCCUGGAUCGUGUCGAUCAAAGGAAUCUGCCAUUGGAUGGUGGAUUCUCUGUCAGCGGAACCGGUAGUGGUGCCAAUAUCUACGUCAUCGAUACUGGCAUCAACCCAACCCAUAAUGACUUUGGUGGACGUGCAGCCGUAGCUUACGAUGCCAGAG